GACGAACGCUGGCGGCGUGCUUAACACAUGCAAGUCGAACGGUAAGGCCCUUCGGGGUACACGAGUGGCGAACGGGUGAGUAACACGUGGGUGAUCUGCCCUGCACUUCGGGAUAAGCCUGGGAAACUGGGUCUAAUACCGGAUAGGACUCCUGGCUUCAUGGUUGGGGGUGGAAAGCUUUUGCGGUGUGGGAUGGGCCCGCGGCCUAUCAGCUUGUUGGUGGGGUAAUGGCCUACCAAGGCGACGACGGGUAGCCGGCCUGAGGGGGUGACCGGUCACACGGGGGCGGAGAUACGGCCCAGACUCCUACGGGAGGCAGCAGUGGGGAAUAUUGCACAAUGGGGGCAAGCCUGAUGCAGCGACGCCGCGUGAGGGAUGACGGCCUUCGGGUUGUAAACCUCUUUCAGCUAUGACGAAGCGCAAGUGACGGUAGUAGCAGAAGAAGGACCGGCCAACUACGUGCCAGCAGCCGCCGUAA
RNAcentral lists this ribosomal RNA (478 nucleotides) under uncultured bacterium. Its description in RNAcentral is "partial 16S ribosomal RNA". It matches the Rfam family "Bacterial small subunit ribosomal RNA", at positions 28 to 523 of the family's 1533-position model. The record is from RNAcentral.